This 432-nucleotide ribosomal RNA is filed under the name uncultured bacterium. RNAcentral describes it as "partial 16S ribosomal RNA". It matches the Rfam family "Bacterial small subunit ribosomal RNA", at positions 29 to 506 of the family's 1533-position model. The record is from RNAcentral.
AACGAACGCUGGCGGCAUGCCUAACACAUGCAAGUCGAACGAGACCUUCGGGUCUAGUGGCGCACGGGUGCGUAACGCGUGGGAACCUGCCCUUAGGUUCGGAAUAACUCCCCGAAAGGGGUGCUAAUACCGGAUAAUGUCUUCGGACCAAAGAUUUAUCGCCUUUGGAUGGGCCCGCGUUGGAUUAGCUAGUUGGUAGGGUAAAAGCCUACCAAGGCGACGAUCCAUAGCUGGUCUGAGAGGAUGAUCAGCCACACUGGGACUGAGACACGGCCCAGACUCCUACGGGAGGCAGCAGUGGGGAAUAUUGGACAAUGGGCGAAAGCCUGAUCCAGCAAUGCCGCGUGAGUGAUGAAGGCCUUAGGGUCGUAAAGCUCUUUUACCCGGGAUGAUAAUGACAGUACCGGGAGAAUAAGCUCCGGCUAACUCCGG